ACUGCAGUCGAGCGAAUGGAUUGAGAGCUUGCUCUCAAGAAGUUAGCGGCGGACGGGUGAGUAACACGUGGGUAACCUGCCCAUAAGACUGGGAUAACUCCGGGAAACCGGGGCUAAUACCGGAUAACAUUUUGAACUGCAUGGUUCGAAAUUGAAAGGCGGCUUCGGCUGUCACUUAUGGAUGGACCCGCGUCGCAUUAGCUAGUUGGUGAGGUAACGGCUCACCAAGGCAACGAUGCGUAGCCGACCUGAGAGGGUGAUCGGCCACACUGGGACUGAGACACGGCCCAGACUCCUACGGGAGGCAGCAGUAGGGAAUCUUCCGCAAUGGACGAAAGUCUGACGGAGCAACGCCGCGUGAGUGAUGAAGGCUUUCGGGUCGUAAAACUCUGUUGUUAGGGAAGAACAAGUGCUAGUUGAAUAAGCUGGCACCUUGACGGUACCUAACCAGAAAGCCACGGCUAACUACGUGCCAGCAGCCGCGGUAAUACGUAGGUGGCAAGCGUUAUCCGGAAUUAUUGGGCGUAAAGCGCGCGCAGGUGGUUUCUUAAGUCUGAUGUGAAAGCCCACGGCUCAACCGUGGAGGGUCAUUGGAAACUGGGAGACUUGAGUGCAGAAGAGGAAAGUGGAAUUCCAUGUGUAGCGGUGAAAUGCGUAGAGAUAUGGAGGAACACCAGUGGCGAAGGCGACUUUCUGGUCUGUAACUGACACUGAGGCGCGAAAGCGUGGGAGAGCAAACAGGAUUAGAUACCCUGGUAGUCCACGCCGUAAACGAUGAGUGCUAAGUGUUAGAGGGUUUCCGCCCUUUAGUGCUGAAGUUAACGCAUUAAGCACUC
This 836-nucleotide ribosomal RNA is filed under the name Bacillus sp. R5A. RNAcentral's name for it is "bacterial SSU rRNA". It matches the Rfam family "Bacterial small subunit ribosomal RNA", at positions 53 to 869 of the family's 1533-position model. Lineage: Bacteria; Bacillati; Bacillota; Bacilli; Caryophanales; Bacillaceae. The record is from RNAcentral.